Molecule: transfer RNA, 81 nt
Filed under: Actinomyces glycerinitolerans
Lineage: Bacteria; Bacillati; Actinomycetota; Actinomycetes; Actinomycetales; Actinomycetaceae
Source: RNAcentral
ACGACCUUGGUGUGUGUUUCACGACCCCGGGGUGGUCGUGCAACGCACACCAAGGUCGUGCAGUGUCGCCCAGGGUCGUGC